CAGUCUGCAACUCGACUGCACGAAGCUGGAAUCGCUAGUAAUCGCGGAUCAGCACGCCGCGUGAAUACGUUCCCGGGCCUUGUACACACCGCCCGUCACACCAUGGAAGUCUGCAAUGCCCGAAGCCGGUGGCCUAACCACUUAUGUGGAAGGAGCCGUCUAAGGCAGGGCAGAUGACUGGGGUGAAGUCGUAACAAGGUAGC
This 203-nucleotide ribosomal RNA is filed under the name uncultured bacterium. RNAcentral's name for it is "partial 16S ribosomal RNA". It matches the Rfam family "Bacterial small subunit ribosomal RNA", at positions 1301 to 1500 of the family's 1533-position model. The record is from RNAcentral.